Molecule: ribosomal RNA, 2807 nt
Filed under: Lactiplantibacillus pentosus MP-10
Lineage: Bacteria; Bacillati; Bacillota; Bacilli; Lactobacillales; Lactobacillaceae
Description: bacterial LSU rRNA
Rfam family: Bacterial large subunit ribosomal RNA
Source: RNAcentral
AGGGCGCAUGGUGAAUGCCUUGGCACUAGGAGCCGAUGAAGGACGGGACUAACACCGAUAUGCUUCGGGGAGCUGUACGUAAGCUAUGAUCCGGAGAUUUCCGAAUGGGGCAACCCAGCAGUUUUAAUCAACUGUUACCACUAGAUGAAUUCAUAGUCUAGUUGGAGGUAAACGCUGUGAACUGAAACAUCUCAUUAGCAGCAGGAAUAUAAAGAAAUUUCGAUUCCCUAAGUAGCGGCGAGCGAACGGGGAACAGCCCAAACCAAAGUGCUUGCACUUUGGGGUUGUAGGACUGAACAUUUGAGUUACCAAAGAACUUGAUAGUCGAAGGAUUUGGGAAAAUCCGCCAUAGAUGGUGAUAGCCCAGUAGAUUAAAUCAAAUUCUCUCAGUUCAGGAUCCUGAGUACGGCGGAACACGUGAAAUUCCGUCGGAAUCCGGGAGGACCAUCUCCCAAGGCUAAAUACUACCUAGUGACCGAUAGUGAACCAGUACCGUGAGGGAAAGGUGAAAAGCACCCCGGGAGGGGAGUGAAAUAGUUCCUGAAACCAUGUGCCUACAAUAAGUCAGAGCGCGUUAAUGCGUGAUGGCGUGCCUUUUGUAGAAUGAACCGGCGAGUUAUGAUCCCGUGCAAGGUUAAGACUAAAAAGUCGGAGCCGUAGCGAAAGCGAGUCUGAAAUGGGCGAUUUGAGUACGAGGUUAUAGACCCGAAACCAGGUGACCUAUCCAUGUCCAGGUUGAAGGUGCGGUAAAACGCACUGGAGGACCGAACCCGUGUAAGUUGAAAAUUGCUGGGAUGAGGUGUGGAUAGCGGUGAAAUUCCAAACGAACUUGGAGAUAGCUGGUUCUCUCCGAAAUAGCUUUAGGGCUAGCCUCGGAUUAAGGAUCAUGGAGGUAGAGCACUAUUUGGACUAGGGGCCCGUCUUGGGUUACUGAAUUCAGAUAAACUCCGAAUGCCAUUGAUUCAUGUCCGGGAGUCAGACGAUGAGUGAUAAGAUCCACCGUCGAAAGGGGAACAGCCCAGACCAUCAGUUAAGGUCCCUAAAUGUAUGCUAAGUGGAAAAGGAUGUGGAGUUGCAUAGACAACUAGGAUGUUGGCUCAGAAGCAGCCACCAUUUAAAGAGUGCGUAAUAGCUCACUAGUCGAGUGAUCCUGCGCCGAAAAUGUACCGGGGCUAAGCAUACUACCGAAACCAUGGAUGCGACCAUUAGGUCGCGUGAUAGGAGAGCGUUCUAAGGGCGGUGAAGCAAGAUCGUGAGGACUUGUGGAGCGCUUAGAAGUGAGAAUGCCGGUAUGAGUAGCGAAAGAUAGGUGAGAAUCCUAUCCACCGAAUGACUAAGGUUUCCUGGGGAAGGCUCGUCCUCCCAGGGUUAGUCGGGACCUAAGUCGAGGCCGAGAGGCGUAGACGAUGGAUAACAGGUUGAGAUUCCUGUACUAGUUAAGUGCGUUUGAGCAAUGGAGGGACGCAGGAGGCUAAGAUGUGCAUUCUGUUGGAUUAGAAUGUCCAAGCAGUAAGUCUUGUGGAGAGUCAAAUGCUUUUCACUUUAAGGACAAGCUGUGAUGGGGAGCGAAAUUUAGUAGCGAAGCGUCUGAUGUCACACUGCCGAGAAAAGCUUCUAGUGAGUACUUAACUACCCGUACCGCAAACCGACACAGGUAGUCGAGGAGAGAAUCCUAAGGUGAGCGAGUGAACUCUCGUUAAGGAACUCGGCAAAAUGACCCCGUAACUUCGGGAGAAGGGGUGCUGAUCGCAAGAUCAGCCGCAGUGAAUAGGCCCAGGCGACUGUUUAUCAAAAACACAGGUCUCUGCAAAAUCGUAAGAUGACGUAUAGGGGCUGACGCCUGCCCGGUGCUGGAAGGUUAAAAGGAUGGGUUAGCUUCGGCGAAGCUCAGAAUUGAAGCCCCAGUAAACGGCGGCCGUAACUAUAACGGUCCUAAGGUAGCGAAAUUCCUUGUCGGGUAAGUUCCGACCCGCACGAAAGGCGUAACGAUCUGGGCACUGUCUCAACGAGAGACUCGGUGAAAUUAUAUUGUCCGUGAAGAUGCGGACUACCCGCGACAGGACGGAAAGACCCCAUGGAGCUUUACUGUAGCUUGAUAUUGAGUGUUUGUACAGCUUGUACAGGAUAGGUAGGAGCCAUAGAAACCGGAACGCUAGUUUCGGUGGAGGCGUUGGUGGGAUACUACCCUCGCUGUAUGACCACUCUAACCCGCACCACUAAUCGUGGUGGGAGACAGUGUCAGGUGGGCAGUUUGACUGGGGCGGUCGCCUCCUAAAAAGUAACGGAGGCGCCCAAAGGUUCCCUCAGAAUGGUUGGAAAUCAUUCGCAGAGUGUAAAGGCACAAGGGAGCUUGACUGCGAGACAGACAGGUCGAGCAGGGACGAAAGUCGGGCUUAGUGAUCCGGUGGUACCGUAUGGAAGGGCCAUCGCUCAACGGAUAAAAGCUACCCUGGGGAUAACAGGCUUAUCUCCCCCAAGAGUCCACAUCGACGGGGAGGUUUGGCACCUCGAUGUCGGCUCAUCGCAUCCUGGGGCUGUAGUCGGUCCCAAGGGUUGGGCUGUUCGCCCAUUAAAGCGGUACGCGAGCUGGGUUCAGAACGUCGUGAGACAGUUCGGUCCCUAUCCGUCGCGGGCGUAGGAAAUUUGAGAGGACCUGUCCUUAGUACGAGAGGACCGGGAUGGACAUACCUCUGGUGUACCAGUUGUGCCGCCAGGCGCAUCGCUGGGUAGCUACGUAUGGAUGUGAUAAACGCUGAAAGCAUCUAAGUGUGAAACACACCUCGAGAUGAGAUUUCCCAUUCCUUUAU